AAAGAUUAGCAUGGCCCCUGCGCAAGGAUAACUCCAAUUGUUGUAAUAAACACUUGUUAUUU
Molecule: small nuclear RNA, 62 nt
Filed under: Mnemiopsis leidyi (sea walnut)
Lineage: Eukaryota; Metazoa; Ctenophora; Tentaculata; Lobata; Bolinopsidae
Source: RNAcentral